GCAGCCGCUGCCGCCGCAGCGAAGAGGCCAUGUUGUGUGGUGUGUGGGGCGGGGGGAGGAGGAGGAGGGAGUAAAGCCUAGAGAGGAGACGGGAGAGAGACACCACACACACGGCACAAGAUGGCCGGAGAGGCAGCAGCACCCCGAGCUGUCAGGCGUUCCGCCGCGGCCGCGAGGCCCGCCGGCCGGCGGGGAGCUACGCCCGGACGGCCAGCAGGCCCGCGGGAGUGGGGCUGCCGCGGCUGAGGCGAGGCGGGCCGCGCGCGUCGGCGUCACAGCCCGCGGCAGAGGCGCCCAGGGCGGCCGGGCCCACGACGCCGAAAGCGCCGCUGCGGUUGCCGCCUCGGAGGCUCCCCCGGGCCCCGGCGGCUGGACCCGGCGCGGGCGGGAGGCUCGGGCGGGCGGUCCGGCCCGGGACUCGGGUUUGGGCGACCAGGAGGUGCCGGUGGCCGCGCUCGGACCCGGUGACUUAAGAGAUUAAAAUUAAUUUGGUUGCUGUUGGUUCUGAACAAAUAAUGAGUUCUUUUAUUUGAGGUAUGCCAUUUUGAAGACUGAGACGUUGGAGUUUUAUCCUAGAGGAUAAAGGAAAUCUUUGGGAAAGUCAGUAUUUUAUAUAGCAAAUUUGAUUGUGGAGCGGCAUAAGGGGGAGAAAGAUAAGUUGAGGACGUCUCUUUAUCUUUUGUUAAUCAGAGGUGGUGAUAGAGUGGAAAAUAUAACACGUUUCGGCAUUCAGGAGACCUACCUUCCAAUAAAUAUGAACCUCAAACUGAAUCCUCUAAAGGCCCCAUACAAUGAAGUAGACAUUGGUGGAAACAUUUACACCCAGUCAGCUUGAAGAGUUUCAAAUGGACCCUACCACUGAGAAAUCAAGAUGGCAGUCUACUAUGGGGAAUUGAGGAAAAAUGGAUUAAUACAAGAGUCCUGUGAUAAUAUACAACCAAGACAGGGUUCUUUUAACAUGGAUUCCAUGCAGUGAAUGAAGACAUAGGUUUCUUACCCAACACAAAUGGACAGUGGAUUUGACUUUCUAAAGACUUUUUUUGUGGACAUUUUGACAUUUGGAGAAGAAAGAUGGCACACUAACCCAGAUAAUAGUUUUUAUGCCUGGAAUUUUUUGCAGUUUGAUUUGUAUGCGUAUGACCUCUUGAAAUGUUAAUUUUUAAUAAAAUUUGUAACACUUAAAAAUUUCUCAGUUUGGGUUUUUUUUUUUAAGUGGAAGUUUAAUUAAAUGUUUAGUUUUAUUUUAGUAAUACUUUGGCCUUUGUAGUUGCCGAGUGGUAAAGUGUACUGAAUAUGAAUAAAGCUGGUAAAUUGGAAAUGGUGUAAUCGAAAACAUUUUACUUGGUUUAUGAAGAUUUACGUUUUUCACAAAGUUGUGCUCUUAGAUGGUCAUUUGGUUUAAAUACUGUUUUGUUUGUGCUUUCAUGAAACACCUUUCAAAACAACUCAAUGGGUAAUAAUAGAAUCUGAUUUUAAUCUGCCACAAGAUUUUAAUGAACUUGAAACAAACUGCUUGUUGCUCGAAAAUUCAGGAUGAGUGAUACACAUAUACUUCUGAAUUAUUUUGUGUUGAUUGAAAUGGUUUCUUAAGCUUUUUAAUACUAUAAAUACAUCUUGCUAUAGAAUAUUCAUCUGAAUAUUUAAAUUAAUGUCUCCUAUUGUCUUACUAUUAGAGGAAGAAGUGUUGGAUUUAUGGGUUAGGGUCCUUGGAGUAUUCACAAUUUUUUAAAUUUGAAAUUAUGUGUGUAAUCCAUUUUAUAUAACUUUGAAGUAGGAUUAAUAUCUUGUAUCGUCUUUAUUUUGUACAAUUGGGGAUUUAGAAUAAAUGAAUUGCACCCUGCCAUAGAUUACUUACGUUUGAUUUUUAAAUGCCAGGUUUUCAUUUAUUACUAAUCAACUGAUACCAGUUUUGGUAACUAUUACAAAGGUGGUAGGCAUUAUUUUGGUAGACAAAAUGAGUUCUUGAUUCUGUUUUCCCAUUUUACAUGAGAAGAAUAAAUAGUUCAGGUUAAAUUGUUUUGUGUUAAUCAUACUGUUUGUGAUUCAUGUCAAAUACUGCAGCAUACACAUCCAUGGUUAAUACACGAGCACCAUUUGUUAUUGACUGAUGUGAGGUGGUUGGUCUUUGUUAAAUUCAAAAAUGGAAUUUUGGAUAUUGUUCUUGCUACGAAAUUUAUCUUUGUGUGUAGAGUAUGGAAUUGAAACAGUUUGGAUUAUGGAUUUUACCUAGAUUGGACAUUGUUGAUUUUGUUUGGUGUAAAUCUAAAGUGGAUUUCUUCAGUGAGGGAGAGACAUGGUUCUGGCAGAUUAUGUUGAAUAAGGAAAGUUGAUUGGAUUUUUUUGGGUGUGUGAAUAUGCUUGUCUGAAUGGAGUGCUUGGUAGGAUAUUGUUUCUGGAAUUAGUAAUUUGUUUCUGUGGAUCUCAUGGUUUUGAUAUUUAGGAGAAUUUGCUUUGUGACAUUACUUUGAUAAUUUGCAAUCACGUAUGUCCUAUUGUUAAUAACAUUGUUGAAAUGGGUGUAUACUUACUUGAUUUGAAAUAUAAGGGAAGUGUUGGGAUAUGUGUUUUCUGUUGGAUUUGGACGUGGAGUUUCUUGGGUUACUGAUUUAAAGGUGAUCGUGUUUGGACCAUACUCUUGAAUUUUUGCCUGAAUCAGUAUGGGAAGUAAAUAUAUUGUGAUUAUGAGAAGUUUCUUUGGGGGGAGGAGUGUAAUAUUUUCAAGGUUAUAUAAUGGGUUAAAGAAUUUUGUGAAAGAACAAAGAAAAAUGGAUAUUCUUGAAUAAAAAUUGGUUGCAUUAACUUUUGCUCCAGUGCAACUUGAACACUAGGGAGGCGCUCUUGAGUUGUAAAAGUUACCCCUUUCUUCCAGUGGAGAUGGAAAAUUCCCCCUUAAAUUUUGUCUUUAGAUUAUUUUUAGGCAUCAUAAAGAAGGAAAAACUUGAAUUUAUAUUAUGAAAUUAAGGUUUUACUUUUAUUUAGCAAUCAUUUCACCCAUUGGGGGAUUAAUUUUUAAAAAGAUUAGUACUUAGCUGAGCUUUAGAUUCUCUAAGAAUUAUCCCUUUUUCAAAAUGGCUUGAUAAAACACCACUUCCUGUCCAGGGAGGAAGUUAUUUUAGCUCAAGGACUGAAAUAUUUAGCAGAUCUUUAGACAAAAGGAACAAAUUACAUUUCUCUCUGGCUUAAAAAGGGUGCUUGAGCCAGAGGGGGUUAAGAAGCCCUCCCCCCUCCCCCUGUUGGGGUGGUCUGGAGGGGCAGGGAGGUGUGGGGGUGGGGGUCCUUAGGCUCCCUGGGAUGGAGGAUCUGUCUCUCUCUCUCUCUCUCCUUUUUUUUUUUUUGGUGGAGAUGAAGGGGUGGGUCUAUGGUACAUCACCUGAGUUGUGGGGUAAAUGUAGAGAGUGUCAAUCAAAGGCAGAGCUCUCAGAGCUGGGAAGGAGGCUCUAGAUGGCGGCUGUGCCUUAGAGAGAGCGCGCUCUGCUCCCUGCCUUUGCCUCACUUUACGCAACUUUCCCUAACUUUCGGGCAGCCUCAGGGGGCCCCCGUAGCCCCCUGCCUUUCCUAGGGACUUACUGGGGUCGAUUCGAACCUUUUUUUGGGAGAAAAGCAGCUUUUAGGAGCUUUCUUUUCGUGCCUUGUUGGAAAGAAGCAGCCGUACUGAGAGCCCAGGUCGUUGUUUUUUCCAGCUUAGAAGCCAUGGCGCACCUCCAUUUUUGUGCGCUCUCCUAAUGAGGUUUUUUUUCUUUCGGACCUGUUUUAGUAUUAAUUAUUGCUUUAUUUUUUUGACCAGUUAACAUAUUUGAGGGUUAUUUUAUUUAUUUUUCGUUUUUUAACGGAGGAUUUUGCCUUUAUUUUUAAUUAUUUGGGAUCUGAUAUUUUUCUACUAGUAGAUAGGACUCUUGGUUUGGACAUACUACAUGGAUCAGUAAAUACCUGGGCACAGGACUUCAAAGCAAACACAGAUUCCCCCUCCCCCUUAAUAUUUAAGAAUUAAAAGAUGAUGAGAAAUAAGGACAAAAGCCAAGAGGAGGACAGUUCGCUACACAGCAAUGCAUCGAGGUAUGAGCUAUCAACUUUCUUCCUUUUUGUCUUUUUUUUUGGGGGAGAAACCUCAGCUUACAAUUGUUUACCUUGACAGACAUGGAUUGCUGUCUGUUUUAUUGUGUUUUUCUAAUUUGGAUUCGUUUUUUAAAGCAUGACCUUGAGAUUGCUAAUAUGCCACACCCUAAUUUUUUGGUAGCAAUUUAUGAAAGUUGAGUUGUGACUUAAGGCCUCUUACAGCAGUCAAAAGGUAAGGUACCUUUAUUCAAAGGGGCCUUUACUGUAAUGUACAGUUUUUCUGUCAGUAAAUUUCAGUUUUUAGGUUUUUGUACUGCAGAAAAAUGACCUUGUCGGUUUAGCCAUUGCUGCAUUGCACCAUUUUACAUACAAGGCAAAUUUUUUCUUUGAAGAAUCCAGGAUAUCUAAACUUGUAACUGAGGGCCAUAGAGAAGCCUUGUAGUAGUAAAUUAUAGUAAAUAGACAUAUCAGAAAGUUAUAUGAAUGAAAAAAUGUACAUUUAAAAACAAAAUCACUUAAAGGACCCUUUGACUGAUGCCUCUCAGUUUAUAUUUUUAUGUGACUUUAUAUUUCUUUUGAUACACUUGACAUUUUAGGAAAUUUUGAUGUGAUUUAUCAAAACCUUUACUUGAUGGUUAGAGUUCCUGCAUUUAUGAAAUCAAAUCUGUAAUAACAGAAAUCCUGGAAUACUCUUAAUAUAUACUUCUAUUUUGUGUUUGUUACUGUGAUUAAUAUUUGCAGUUGUAUAUUUUACAUUUAAAUUAUUUUAAGGUUUGCAUUUGUAUGCUUAAGACAUUGAUUUCCUGUUGGUAGAUGUAUUUUAUCCUCACAAUUUAGAUGUAGCUGCUUUAAAUUUAUUGAUGUAUUUCGACAGAGUCGUCUGGAAUGCUUUAUCUUCUGAAGCUUAAAAAUGUACUGUUUGUGCAAAUCAUGAUCUGUUUCACAUUCCUUGGAGUACCUUGUUAGUGAUGAAGUAAUAAAGCCUCUAAGAUGUUUUUGUUGUAUGACCUCUG
Molecule: long non-coding RNA, 5066 nt
Filed under: Homo sapiens (human)
Lineage: Eukaryota; Metazoa; Chordata; Mammalia; Primates; Hominidae
Description: HSALNT0383143
Source: RNAcentral